ACGAGGAUGAGCUAGAAAAGUGGAAUGAGCUGAAAAGUUGGUGUUACAGCUUUUUAAUCCACCGCCUUACCCUGCCGASUCCACCCCCRCUGCGCCUACGCCACCUGGGACUGGGGGUGCCUCGCUCGCCCUGCUCGAGUGUGUCCACCUGAGCACGCUUUAAAUGUCAUCAAAUCUGUCUUGAAGAGCUCAUUGUUGUUAUCCCUAAGGUGGGGUUCUGUAUAUCUCCUACCCUAACUGUUUGACCUCUUCAGCUACUACACAAGAUGUUAUGCCUUGCAGUCACAUCCUGGGCUGCAAAGUARUAUCCAAUUACACGGGAACAAGUUUCUUACUCAGCAGGGCAAUGUCUUCAUCCCUUUGGUGUACCUUCUCUCAACCCUCAUAGCAAAUAUUCCCAGAUGGGAUAGCUAUUGACAUAAAAUUAAUAACUGUAAUCUAACUCUAAGUGGGGAAUGCUUUCAUAGUGUACUAGCCAAUUUUUAGUACAUUUAUCGUUUCCAAAGUUCUUAAUUAUGCAGCCCUGGGUUUUAAGAUUGGCCCAAUUUUUCAGUUAUCUUUCUCUUACAUGGAACUGGCUAGAAGGUCCUGGCAGUUGUCAUCUCCCAUUUGGAGGAGGUCUCUCCACCCACCAGAGCCAUUGAGAUUGCUGGAAGUUCCUGCGUAACUGAUGGUACUUGUCUGAUCACCCUCUGGCAGGGAUCCACACYUUCAGCAACUCCUCCUGGAUCCUCUUGUGGAGCACAACGUUCCUGGUGACCUCAUCCUCAGAGUGGAUGAUCUGUUAAAGCCUAUGAGCCUGCAUACUCAGAAUUUGACUCGCCAAGCAGGUGAUACCCAGUCUACCAUCACURGAGAUGGCAUACAGGAUGGCAUCACAGUGCUCAAUAUUAAAUGCAACCAACGUUUUACCACUAAUCUUUYGGCAAGAUCCAAGGAGUGGAGAUGAUCUAAUGCAAGAUUGAACAGGAUUGGAAACAUUGGAUCACCUUGUUUCACCCCACUGAGGGUCUUUGUAUUCUAGGAGAACAUCCCACCUACCUCAAGGUGCAGGCUUGGUUGGAUGUUUUUAGUGGUACGUUAUUCUGAUUGGAACAAGCUUCUCAGCCACCUGGGAUGUCAGCUCCUCCACCAUACUGAUGAGGAUCUUGGGAGUGUGUCUUCCAAGCCUUCCAGGAUCCUCUGGAASAAUACCCGAGUGAUCAGAGUUCCUGAUCUGUUGUCCAAUUCUCCUCCUAUAUUCCAGCUUCACUCCUUUCACUCUUUCCAACUCAGUGUUCCCUUCCCGCACUGAAGAUGCCUUUGUUGUCAGCGACUGUGUCUUCUCGUAUCACAGAUCUGUUUUGCCAUUUUCACAGGCAAAUGCUCUGAUUGGCCUGAUUGGCUCAUUAGUAGAAUGCAUGUUCUUAAACUUCUGUUCAAGUUCAAUAACUGCGGUUUCCUCCUCAGUCCAGCACCCCUUAUGCAUACUUUAAAAACUUUGUCCCUUUGAGUGAGAUUCCUCAGUCCAUUCCAGGUUCCUUGUAACUGUGUACAUAAGUCUCUUGUGCUGAGAGAGGCUGCUCUUGGUCUUAAAGUCAGGACUGUACUCCACAUGCUGCCAUCUUUGUGCUUCUGAGGGGACUUUUUUCCAAUUCAACUGUGAACCUCUGGCACCUAGGAAAAUGACAAGUGAUACUAUGAUGCUUCUCAUUAGUUCUUCCACAAYGGGACCGUUGAUAAAAGAGGCAUCAACGACUGUGAGUCCUCAUUAGACAUUCUGUUAUGACCAGCAACUUACCUUCUCUGGUACCACAGCAAGGAUGUGUUGAGUAACCUUGGGU
This is a long non-coding RNA of Nothoprocta perdicaria, 1823 nucleotides long. RefSeq lists it as uncharacterized. The record is from RefSeq and is a predicted model, not a curated record. Lineage: Eukaryota; Metazoa; Chordata; Aves; Tinamiformes; Tinamidae. The transcript is spliced from 3 exons.